GACGAACGCUGGCGGCGUGCUUAACACAUGCAAGUCGAACGGUAAGGCCCUUCGGGGUACACGAGUGGCGAACGGGUGAGUAACACGUGGGUGAUCUGCCCUGCACUUCGGGAUAAGCCUGGGAAACUGGGUCUAAUACCGGAUAGGACUCCUGGGUUCAUGGUUGGGGGUGGAAAGCUUUUGCGGUGUGGGAUGGGCCCGCGGCCUAUCAGCUUGUUGGUGGGGUAGUGGCCUACCAAGGCGACGACGGGUAGCCGGCCUGAGAGGGUGACCGGCCACACUGGGACUGAGAUACGGCCCAGACUCCGACGGAAGGCAGCAGUGGGGAAUAUUGCACAAUGGGCGCAAGCCUGAUGCAGCGACGCCGCGUGAGGGAUGACGGCCUUCGGGUUGUAAACCUCUUUCAGCAUCGACGAAGCGAAAGUGACGGUAGGUGCAGAAGAAGGACCGGCCAACUACGUGCCAGCCGCCGCCGUAA
Molecule: ribosomal RNA, 478 nt
Filed under: uncultured bacterium
Lineage: Bacteria
Description: partial 16S ribosomal RNA
Rfam family: Bacterial small subunit ribosomal RNA
Source: RNAcentral